AGGGGUUUCCCCCAUGGGAUUAGGGGACCCCUCAUAGGAUCACCCCCUCCUUGGGGUGAGGAGUCUCCCUGUAGCAUUAAGGACCCCUCACGGGGUGAUGGGUCCCCCCAUGGUGUCAGUGCCCCCCCCCCCCCAUGUCUCACCUGCCAUCAAAGCGAUGCUUCAAGAAGUCAAAGAGUGCUUUC
Pezoporus occidentalis (night parrot) is the source of this 185-nucleotide long non-coding RNA. RefSeq lists it as uncharacterized. The record is from RefSeq and is a predicted model, not a curated record. The transcript is spliced from 2 exons. NCBI's taxonomy places the organism in Eukaryota, Metazoa, Chordata, Aves, Psittaciformes, Psittacidae.